GAGAGAUCUGGGAGUGCCCGAAAGGGAGCCUUCACACAGGUGCUGCAUGGCUGUCGUCAGCUCGUGUCGUGAGAUGUUGGGUUAAGUCCCGCAACGAGCGCAACCCUUGUCAUUAGUUGCUACAUUUAGUUGGGCACUCUAAUGAGACUGCCGGUGACAAACCGGAGGAAGGUGGGGAUGACGUCAAGUCCUCAUGGCCCUUAUGGGUAGGGCUUCACACGUCAUACAAUGGUACAUACAGAGGGCCGCCAACCC
Molecule: ribosomal RNA, 255 nt
Filed under: Massilia hydrophila
Lineage: Bacteria; Pseudomonadati; Pseudomonadota; Betaproteobacteria; Burkholderiales; Oxalobacteraceae
Description: partial 16S ribosomal RNA
Rfam family: Bacterial small subunit ribosomal RNA
Source: RNAcentral